RNAcentral lists this ribosomal RNA (303 nucleotides) under uncultured bacterium. RNAcentral's name for it is "partial 16S ribosomal RNA". It matches the Rfam family "Bacterial small subunit ribosomal RNA", at positions 507 to 807 of the family's 1533-position model. The record is from RNAcentral.
AGCAGUCGCCGCGGGAAUACGUAGGUGGCAAGCGUUGUCCGGAAUUAUUGGGCGUAAAGGGCUCGCAGGCGGUUUCUUAAGUCGGAUGUGAAAGCCCCCGGCUCAACCGGGGAGGGUCAUUGGAAACUGGGAAACUUGAGUGCAGAAGAGGAGAGUGGAAUUCCACGUGUAGCGGUGAAAUGCGUAGAGAUGUGGAGGAACACCAGUGGCGAAGGCGACUCUCUGGUCUGUAACUGACGCUGAGGAGCGAAAGCGUGGGGAGCGAACAGGAUUAGAUACCCGAGUAGUCCCUGUCUCUUAUAC